GUCGCUGCAAAUUCAGCGGCCGGGUUUUGCAGCCCGACUAAAUCAAGGCGCACAAGCGCCAUCGUACCGAGAGCAGGCGCUUUUUUU
RNAcentral lists this small RNA (87 nucleotides) under Pseudomonas fulva. RNAcentral's name for it is "isrK". It matches the Rfam family "isrK Hfq binding RNA". Lineage: Bacteria; Pseudomonadati; Pseudomonadota; Gammaproteobacteria; Pseudomonadales; Pseudomonadaceae. The record is from RNAcentral.